RNAcentral lists this long non-coding RNA (251 nucleotides) under Fukomys damarensis (Damara mole-rat). RNAcentral's name for it is "lncRNA (ENSFDAG00000025546.1)". Lineage: Eukaryota; Metazoa; Chordata; Mammalia; Rodentia; Bathyergidae. The record is from RNAcentral.
GAUAUAUCUUUAAUGAUACUUUUCAAACUUUUCUUUCAUUGCUAGAGAAAGCCUGCCUGAAGCCUUUCUGACUGGACAGAAAAUACCAGAGAUUUGGAAACCUUGAGCCAAAGUUGAUUAUGAAGAUGUAACAUGCUUCCAUCGAAAUUCAGGAUCAUAUUUCAUUGGGGUCAAGUUUAAGUUUUAGAAUUAGACAGAAAAUAGAAGAGGUGUUUCAAAAACAUUCAUUAUAAAAGCACAUAUUACCAUGG